Molecule: non-coding RNA, 1696 nt
Organism: Salvelinus sp. IW2-2015
Lineage: Eukaryota; Metazoa; Chordata; Actinopteri; Salmoniformes; Salmonidae
Source: RefSeq, a predicted model, not a curated record
GAGAACAUGUAUUCUGUACCUACUAGGCUGAGGUACAAGCCUUUUCCUGUCUAGAGACAACACGUACAAGCCUUUUCCUGUCCAGAGGCAACAUGUAUUCUGUACCUACUAGGCUGAGGUACAAGCCUUUUCAGUCAUUUUUUUAUUUUUAUUUCACCUUUAUUUUAUCAUGCAUCAGACAGUUGUUAUGGUUGCAAAAUAAAAGUGCUUUAAAAACUGGGUUCCCCAGAUAAUGUGCUGUUAAAUGGAACUAUGUCACAUCUGUCAAAAAACAGGACCUAGUCUUUUUGACCUUGAAGAAGAGGUCAAUCUGUUAGUUCUAUUCCAUAUUGUGGAUGUGACGUCCUAGGGACGAUGAUGUGUCAUGCUCACCAUGCUCUCUGARAGGCAAUUGGAUUACAAAUCUCUGUUACAAAUACUUGGUUGUAGAAUAUUUUGUUGUUGUUGUGUUAAUUAUAUACAAUUUCAAUAGAGAAGGCAACGCUGGUUACCCAGCGGCCUGAGAGGGGAGUGGGGGCACAUGAAAGAAGGUAUUAGUGAAAAGUCUAUAAAAAAAAUACUGUUUCUUUUGGAGGAGAAAAAUACAUAAAGAUUGAUCAAAUCUACACAUCAAACUAAUGGCACAUACAUACACAGGAUCAAAUACAAAAUUAAAAACAUAGGAACAUAUAAGCUGAAAUUGUAAAAGAAAAAAACUAUUUUUUUUUAAAGAUUGAAAGUGCUAGAAUUCAGAUUAGCUCACAGAAACCCAGGGAGGACAAACUCAAUGCCAAUGGCCUUUUCUUUUUGAUCAAUAAAUGCUCAAUAAAUGAAUAAAAAGAUAAAUGCUAAAUUUGAGUGCUAGAAUUYUGGCUGGAAUUGGAUAUAGCCAUGGUCUUUGAAAAUGUACACUUGAUGUACACAAAAAAAAUCUAUGUUUUAAGGAUAGCUUUUAAACAAUUAUAUAAAUAUUUAUAUCCAAUUACCACUAUAAGAAAGAGGCAAAUUCUUUCAAAGAUGCGAACCACUUUUCUUCACGAUCAAUCAUUAAAUGUUCCUAAUUUAGAUAAUUUCUCAGCCUAGUGGAAGUGUCAUCAUGAACUUCGGGGAUUCAUACCUGAACGUAUUACUUCACAAGUAUUGGUUGGUAGUGGGGCUAUGUCACAACCAAACAAAUGUUUCUUUUAAAUUGUAUUUAUUUUCACAUAUUUGUCAUUUUAUAGGUCAGUCUAAUUAGCUGACUGAAGAGGCAAUAGUAGGCUCUGGUCGGUUGGUCAAUUUGAAUAACAAUUCUACCAUUAUUAAAAUGAAAUAAUAAAAUGUUUAUUUUAAUGAGCAAUUGUGCAAGAUUUUGUUUCCUCUCCCCAGGUUUUGGGAAGAAAAAUCAAAAAUCAAAUGAGGUGAUGUGUUGUGUUGUUUCAAGGUCCUGUUUUAACAAACAGAAAAUAACAUAUCAUAUAACAACAACAAAACGACUAAGAAAUAUCCCAGUCAGUCGUCCCAUGCUUUGAAUGUCAAAGAGCAGGCUGGUGACUUGUUUGUUCUGGAUAUUGUGUAUUUGUUUUAGACCCUUUCCUCCUGAAUCUAGGAAGCAGCUGAGUGAGGAGUACAGAGAGGAAGGGAAACAGUUCAAAUCUGUACUACUGUGCAUGUUUACAUCUUGCAAUGUUGAAAUGUUCUCUGUUCUACGGUUGCUGGGCAACCGUAGCUAAAAGCA